GACGAACGCUGGCGGCGUGCUUAACACAUGCAAGUCGAACGGAAAGACCCGGAUUUUGUUGCGUGCUCGUGUGGCGCACGGGUGAGUAACACGUGAGUAUACUGCACUUGACUUUCGGAUAACUUCACGAAACUCCGGCUAAUACCGGAGAGGAGAUCCUGCUGCACGUUGUGCAUUGGUAAGUUUCGGCGGUUCGGGAUCGACUCGCGGCUUCUCAGCUACUUUGUGGGGUAGUGGAUGACCAAGGCUGCGAAGGAUAGCCGGCCUGAGAGGGUGACCGGCCACAUUGGUACUACGAUACGGCGCAGACUCGUACGGUAGGCAGCAGUCGGAAACAUUGCACAACGGGCGGAAGCCUGAUGUAAAAACGCUGCGUGCGGGAUGACGUGUUACGGGGUAAAAACCGCUUUGGCAUUUGACGAAGCGUGAGUGACGGUAACGGGUCAGGAAGCACCGGCUAACUACGUG
Molecule: ribosomal RNA, 468 nt
Filed under: uncultured bacterium
Lineage: Bacteria
Description: partial 16S ribosomal RNA
Rfam family: Bacterial small subunit ribosomal RNA
Source: RNAcentral